Molecule: ribosomal RNA, 103 nt
Filed under: Streptococcus pneumoniae
Lineage: Bacteria; Bacillati; Bacillota; Bacilli; Lactobacillales; Streptococcaceae
Source: RNAcentral
CGAAGAGGUCACACCCGUUCCCAUACCGAACACGGAAGUUAAGCUCUUCAGCGCCGAUGGUAGUCGGGGGUUUCCCCCUGUGAGAGUAGGACGCCGCCAAGCA